CCAGACUCCUACGGGAGGCAGCAGUGGGGAAUAUUGGGCAAUGGGCGCAAGCCUGACCCAGCAACGCCGCGUGAAGGAAGAAGGCUUUCGGGUUGUAAACUUCUGUUAAGAGGGAAGAGAAGAAGACGGUACCUCUUGAAUAAGCCACGGCUAACUACGUGCCAGCAGCCGCGGUAAUACGUAGGUGGCAAGCGUUGUCCGGAUUUACUGGGUGUAAAGGGCGUGUAGCCGGGCCGGCAAGUCAGAUGUGAAAUCCCAGGGCUCAACCUUGGAACUGCAUUUGAAACUGUUGGUCUUGAGUAUCGGAGAGGCAGGCGGAAUUCCUAGUGUAGCGGUGAAAUGCGUAGAUAUUAGGAGGAACACCAGUGGCGAAGGCGGCUUACUGGACUGUAACUGACGUUGAGGCUCGAAAGCGUGGGGAUCAAACAGGAUUAGAUACCCUUGUAA
Molecule: ribosomal RNA, 447 nt
Filed under: uncultured bacterium
Lineage: Bacteria
Description: partial 16S ribosomal RNA
Rfam family: Bacterial small subunit ribosomal RNA
Source: RNAcentral